This is a long non-coding RNA of Dalotia coriaria, 528 nucleotides long. RefSeq lists it as uncharacterized. Lineage: Eukaryota; Metazoa; Arthropoda; Insecta; Coleoptera; Staphylinidae. The record is from RefSeq and is a predicted model, not a curated record. The transcript has 2 exons.
AAUAGAUAUUUUAACCUGCGCAAUACAACAAAAUCAAUUCAAUUGCCCAUGAUUAAACCGUUUUAAUCAUAUCUAUAGUGUGUAAUUACAUUAACUGUUUGUGUGCGCACAUCCACUGUCACAGAUAAGUGCGAAUCGUUUGCGUUCGUUUUUAAUUAACAUUGGCGCUAUUGCCAUAUGCAAUAAACCAAUAAACACUUGUUUAGCAUUUGGCCGGCGCUAAGUAUCUGAGCUAAUAUUCAGCAAUGUAAACAUGGUGUCAAAUCAAGGACAAAAUACUAAAGAUAAUUGUUAUCCACUUAAAAUCUAACACCAAAACAAUUUAAACUUAAAUAUUAAUAAGUGAACACAAAUGAAAAAUUAAACAUGAAAUAUUGAAGAAGUUUAUGGAUUUAAGUUAAAUCUUUUAUUAAAUUGUGUGAUAACUUGAGAUAAACUAUGUUAAACUGUAUUUUUAUCUUUUAAUUUUUAUUUUUAUUAUGUAAUCACAUAAUAGAUUAAUAUAUAUGUUUUAAAAUUGAUAUUAAA